RNAcentral lists this ribosomal RNA (460 nucleotides) under uncultured bacterium. Its description in RNAcentral is "partial 16S ribosomal RNA". It matches the Rfam family "Bacterial small subunit ribosomal RNA", at positions 338 to 795 of the family's 1533-position model. The record is from RNAcentral.
CCUACGGGCGGCAGCAGUGAGGAAUAUUGGUCAAUGGGCGAGAGCCUGAACCAGCCAAGUCGCGUGAGGGAAGACGGUCCUAUGGAUUGUAAACCUCUUUUGCCGGGGAGCAAAAAGCGGUACGUGUACAGCAUCGAGAGGACCCGGAGAAAAAGCAUCGGCUAACUCCGUGCCAGCAGCCGCGGUAAUACGGAGGGUGCAAGCGUUACCCGGAAUGACUGGGCGUAAAGAGAGCGUAGGCGGGGUAAUAAGUGCGAGGUGAAAUCCUGUGGCUUAACUACAGAACUGCAUUUGAAACGGUUACUCUGGAGUGUGAGAGAGGUAGGUGGAAUUCUUGGUGUAGGGGUAAAAUCCGUAGAGAUCAAGAAGAAUACUCAUGGCGAAGGCGACCUGCGGGAACAUUACUGACGCUGAUGCACGAAAGCGUGGGGAGCAAACAGGAUUAGAUACCCCGGUAGUC